RNAcentral lists this ribosomal RNA (483 nucleotides) under uncultured bacterium. RNAcentral describes it as "partial 16S ribosomal RNA". It matches the Rfam family "Bacterial small subunit ribosomal RNA", at positions 28 to 507 of the family's 1533-position model. The record is from RNAcentral.
GAUGAACGCUAGCGGCAGGCCUAAUACAUGCAAGCCGAACGGCAAGUUUGAUAGCAAUAUUGGACCUAGAGUGGCGCAAGGGUGCGUAACACGUAUGCAACCUGCCCGCGACAGGAGGAUAGCUCCCCGAAAGGGGAAUUAACCCUCCAUAACACCAUGAGAAGGCAUCUGAUUAUGGUUAAACCGCAAGGGGUCGCGGAUGGGCAUGCGGUUGAUUAGCUAGUUGGCGGGGUAAAGGCCCACCAAGGCGGUGAUCAAUAGGGGUUCUGAGAGGAAGGUCCCCCACACUGGCACUGGGAUACGGGCCAGACUCCUACGGGAGGCAGCAGUAGGGAAUAUUGGACAAUGGUUGCAAGACUGAUCCAGCCAUGCCGCGUGCAGGAAGAAGGCCUUCUGGGUCGUAAACUGCUUUUGACUGUGGAUAAAAUACCCGUGCGCGGGGAAUUGAAGGUAACAGGGGAAUAAGCCACGGCUAACUACGUG